GGUUGCUGGAGGUAUCAGAAGUGCGAAUGCUGACAUAAGUAACGAUAAAGCGGGUGAAAAGCCCGCUCGCCGGAAGACCAAGGGUUCCUGUCCAACGUUAAUCGGGGCAGGGUGAGUCGACCCCUAAGGCGAGGCCGAAAGGCGUAGUCGAUGGGAAACGGGUUAAUAUUCCCGUACUUGGUGUUACUGCGAAGGGGGGACGGAGAAGGCUAUGUUGGCCGGGCGACGGUUGUCCCGGUUUAAGCGUGUAGGUGUGUGUUCCAGGUAAAUCCGGUUCACUUUAACACUGAGGCGUGACGACGAGGCACUACGGUGCUGAAGCAACAAAUGCCCUGCUUCCAGGAAAAGCCUCUAAGCAUCAGGUAACAUCAAAUCGUACCCCAAACCGACACAGGUGGUCAGGUAGAGAAUACCAAGGCGCUUGAGAGAACUCGGGUGAAGGAACUAGGCAAAAUGGUGCCGUAACUUCGGGAGAAGGCACGCUGACACGUAGGUGAAGUGAUUUACUCAUGGAGCUGAAGUCAGUCGAAGAUACCAGCUGGCUGCAACUGUUUAUUAAAAACACAGCACUGUGCAAACACGAAAGUGGACGUAUACGGUGUGACGCCUGCCCGGUGCCGGAAGGUUAAUUGAUGGGGUCAGCGCAAGCGAAGCUCCUGAUCGAAGCCCCGGUAAACGGCGGCCGUAACUAUAACGGUCCUAAGGUAGCGAAAUUCCUUGUCGGGUAAGUUCCGACCUGCACGAAUGGCGUAAUGAUGGCCAGGCUGUCUCCACCCGAGACUCAGUGAAAUUGAACUCGCUGUGAAGAUGCAGUGUACCCGCGGCAAGACGGAAAGACCCCGUGAACCUUUACUAUAGCUUGACACUGAACAUUGAGCCUUGAUGUGUAGGAUAGGUGGGAGGCUUUGAAGCGUGGACGCCAGUCUGCGUGGAGCCGACCUUGAAAUACCACCCUUUAAUGUUUGAUGUUCUAACGUGGACCCGUUACCCGGGUUGCGGACAGUGUCUGGUGGGUAGUUUGACUGGGGCGGUCUCCUCCUAAAGAGUAACGGAGGAGCACGAAGGUUGGCUAAUCCUGGUCGGACAUCAGGAGGUUAGUGCAAUGGCAUAAGCCAGCUUGACUGCGAGCGUGACGGCGCGAGCAGGUGCGAAAGCAGGUCAUAGUGAUCCGGUGGUUCUGAAUGGAAGGGCCAUCGCUCAACGGAUAAAAGGUACUCCGGGGAUAACAGGCUGAUACCGCCCAAGAGUUCAUAUCGACGGCGGUGUUUGGCACCUCGAUGUCGGCUCAUCACAUCCUGGGGCUGAAGUAGGUCCCAAGGGUAUGGCUGUUCGCCAUUUAAAGUGGUACGCGAGCUGGGUUUAGAACGUCGUGAGACAGUUCGGUCCCUAUCUGCCGUGGGCGCUGGAGAACUGAGGGGGGCUGCUCCUAGUACGAGAGGACCGGAGUGGACGCAUCACUGGUGUUCGGGUUGUCAUGCCAAUGGCACUGCCCGGUAGCUAAAUGCGGAAGAGAUAAGUGCUGAAAGCAUCUAAGCACGAAACUUGCCCCGA
This 1551-nucleotide ribosomal RNA is filed under the name Salmonella enterica. Its description in RNAcentral is "partial 23S ribosomal RNA". It matches the Rfam family "Bacterial large subunit ribosomal RNA", at positions 1268 to 2802 of the family's 2925-position model. Lineage: Bacteria; Pseudomonadati; Pseudomonadota; Gammaproteobacteria; Enterobacterales; Enterobacteriaceae. The record is from RNAcentral.